AUUGAACGCUGGCGGCAGGCUUAACACAUGCAAGUCGAGCGGGGGAAGGUAGCUUGCUACCGGACCUAGCGGCGGACGGGUGAGUAAUGCUUAGGAAUCUGCCUAUUAGUGGGGGACAACAUCUCGAAAGGGAUGCUAAUACCGCAUACGUCCUACGGGAGAAAGCAGGGGAUCUUCGGACCUUGCGCUAAUAGAUGAGCCUAAGUCGGAUUAGCUAGUUGGUGGGGUAAAGGCCUACCAAGGCGACGAUCUGUAGCGGGUCUGAGAGGAUGAUCCGCCACACUGGGACUGAGACACGGCCCAGACUCCUACGGGAGGCAGCAGUGGGGAAUAUUGGACAAUGGGGGGAACCCUGAUCCAGCCAUGCCGCGUGUGUGAAGAAGGCCUUAUGGUUGUAAAGCACUUUAAGCGAGGAGGAGGCUACUCUAGUUAAUACCUAGGGAUAGUGGACGUUACUCGCAGAAUGAGCACCGGCUAACUCUGUGCCAGCAGCCGCUGUAA
RNAcentral lists this ribosomal RNA (501 nucleotides) under uncultured bacterium. RNAcentral's name for it is "partial 16S ribosomal RNA". It matches the Rfam family "Bacterial small subunit ribosomal RNA", at positions 30 to 523 of the family's 1533-position model. The record is from RNAcentral.